This 24-nucleotide small nuclear RNA is filed under the name Arabidopsis thaliana (thale cress). RNAcentral's name for it is "snRNA_05242". The record is from RNAcentral. Lineage: Eukaryota; Viridiplantae; Streptophyta; Magnoliopsida; Brassicales; Brassicaceae.
CAAUAGAAAAAGGAACCAAGCCAC